Molecule: long non-coding RNA, 429 nt
Organism: Daphnia pulex (common water flea)
Lineage: Eukaryota; Metazoa; Arthropoda; Branchiopoda; Diplostraca; Daphniidae
Exons: 4
Source: RefSeq, a predicted model, not a curated record
UGAAAAGCAAGUCCCUGACUAUUAUCAGAUCUUCAAGGAUUGCAUGGUCUUUGGUUGAGACCCGGAUUGCAGAGAGACGUUAUCAAUGACUUGUGAAGUUUAUUAUCCACAUCGCCAAGAUUACCCCUUUAUUUAAUAUUGGGACAAAUAUCAUCCGCCGUCUGCUUUAUUCUCUUUACUUUGUGGAUGAUGGAGAAAGAGUCGUACACUCGUACGUUAAACUGUUUAAAAUUAAAUUUAGAUUUCAACCUGCAGACGGACCGGCCAGUUAGCAUGUCCUUCACGCUUGAAGGUCGAGGGAAACAUUGUGUAAAACUGUCAACGCGGUGGUGUAGAGGUUGGGUGAGCUGGACGUGUUGCAUCAUUUUCAGCAGACCCAACCCCAGCAACGUCAACCUAAAGAAGGAAAGGCCAGUUUGCAUUUCCUUC